Molecule: ribosomal RNA, 296 nt
Filed under: uncultured bacterium
Lineage: Bacteria
Description: partial 16S ribosomal RNA
Rfam family: Bacterial small subunit ribosomal RNA
Source: RNAcentral
UACCGGAUAAGUCUUUACGGAGAAAGCUUUAUGCACCAUUGGAUGAGCCUGCACUUGAUUAGUUUGUUGGUGGGGUAAUGGCCUACCAAGACUGUGAUCAAUAGCUGAUUUGAGAGGAUGAUCAGCCACAUUGGGACUGAGACACGGCCCAAACUCCUACGGGAGGCAGCAGUGGGGAAUCUUGCACAAUGGAGGAAACUCUGAUGCAGCGAUGCCGCGUGAGUGAAGAAGGCCCUUGGGUUGUAAAGCUCUUUCGUCGGGGAAGAAAAUGACUGUACCCGAAUAAGAAGGUCCGG